GGAAGAAGGGGGGAGGGCUGUAUCUUUGCAAACGUAGCUAAGGACGGGACUUCCGGCUCUAGUUCUGAGCUUAAUCUUGCCGGUUGCAGGGUUGGCUUAUCUCGGGAACAUUAGGGCCCGGGUGGCCUGGCAAAGAUUUCUGGGAUUUCUGGGGCCCUGCAGCAGCUGUCUCCAGAGCAGUGGCCCUCCUCCCUUGCAGCUGUGUGCAUGGGAUAGAGGGGAUUUGGUGGGGAGCAGAAAGGAGGAAGGCCAGAAUUGGUAUGGUUGAAGUCCCCAAAUCUCCACUUGACUCUGGGCUGCGGGAUGGAGAGCCCGAGACUUCAUGUAUUCCAGUGUGGGAACUCAUCCACCAGUGCAAAUCAUCUUCUUGGGAUCAGAGACUUUCAGGUGGAAGGGCCCUCAGAGGCUCAUUUUGUGGAUGAGAUGAAGCUAAAGAGAGACAGGCGAUGCUGGAACUGAGCUCCUCAGAUUCCAAAGCCACUGCCCAGCUUACAGGCUUGGAGAGAUGCCCAAGGACCCUAGUGAAAUCAAAUCAACACUAGUAGGCUAAGUGUGCCAGGCCCUGAGAAUACAAAGAAAGGCAAAAGCCACAUCUCUGCCCUCCGGGAGUUUACAUUCUAAUAGGGGAGAAAACAGGCCAACAACUAGAUAAGGUAUGGACAGUAUAAGUGACCUGGCUAAGGUCAUAUGGCCAGGAUAUGUCCGAGACAGGCUUUGAACUCCGAUCACAAUGCAGCACUGACUCCUAACAGGCUUCCUGGAGCUCAGAGGACAGGACAAGUGCAGACUUUCUGAACUGUUGCUUGGAAAAGAGAGUAUUUGCCAUUUUGGUAUCUGGGCUGGUUUGUUUAAGGAUUGUCUCAACAAUAAUACCUUUUUUUUUUUAAAGUUCUGCAACUGUCUUCAUUUUUUCUUGUAAGAGCAGAACAGACUCCUGGCAACGCAGAGUAAUUGAAUCAGACCAGUUGGUUGUAAACAUGUCCACAAUGCCCUCGAAGGGCUCCACCUUCAGUUGCUGGUUUGGCCAUGAAAGGUUGCCUAUCUUUUUCAGCUGUCACUCUGAAAACCAUUCCAUAAAACUAAAACGCAUUCCAGGCACUUAGGCCCUCCCCCUUUUAAAUCUUGCUGUAAUGAAGGCUGUAAACCCAAUCCCUACCCCUACCUGGAUUCCUUAUAGUGCAGAAAAUGCCAAGAAGAUUGAGGUUAGUCCUAAGGCCCUUUCUCCUGGAGUGUGACAAAGUGUUAAUACUGUGAGUUAAUCUCAUUCUAUUUCUAUGGGAUGCAGUCCAAAACCAUUCGUUAAUUAGAGCACCAAAAAAGGGAGA
This 1325-nucleotide long non-coding RNA is filed under the name Phascolarctos cinereus (koala). RNAcentral's name for it is "lncRNA (ENSPCIG00000028888.2)". The record is from RNAcentral. Lineage: Eukaryota; Metazoa; Chordata; Mammalia; Diprotodontia; Phascolarctidae.